This 444-nucleotide ribosomal RNA is filed under the name Triticum aestivum (bread wheat). RNAcentral describes it as "partial small subunit ribosomal RNA". Lineage: Eukaryota; Viridiplantae; Streptophyta; Magnoliopsida; Poales; Poaceae. The record is from RNAcentral.
AUGGAAUGCAACUUUAAGGCUAUUUUCUGGAACGUUCGUGAUCUUAACUACGGAGCCAAACGAACGGCUGUUCGCAGCGUGAUCACCGUUGCUGCUCCUUCCAUCGUAUGUUUACAAGAGACUAAACUAUCACUCGUCACUGAUUCCAUCGUGCUUGACACGCUCGGCCCACUCUUCGAGGACUACCUCUUCCUCCCCGCAACGGGCACCCAUGGGGGCAUCUUGUUUGCCUGGCGGCGUUCGGACCUCUCCCUCUCGAACCCACUUGUUGGCAUGCACCAUGUCACGGUCCUUGUUACACCAUCGGCUGGUGAUGGACAUUGGUGGAUCACCGGGGUUUACGGGCCACAAGAUGACGAGGCCAAGCUUGAGUUCCUGGCUGAGCUACAUGAUGUGCGCGAAUCCCGCAUAGGCCCGUGGCUCCUUGGCGGCGACUCAACAUGA